CUACGGGCUGCUCCAGUGAGGAAUAUUGCACAAUGGGGGGAACCCUGAUGCAGCAACGCCGCGUGGAGGAUGACGCAUUUCGGUGUGUAAACUCCUUUUAUAUGUCAAGAAAAUGACGGUAGCAUAUGAAUAAGCACAGGCUAACUCCGUGCCAGCAGCCGCGGUAAUACGGAGGGUGGCAAGCGUUACUCGGAAUCACUGGGCGUAAAGGACGCGUAGGCGGGUUGGAAAGUCAGGUGUGAAAUCCUACAGCUUAACUGUAGGACUGCACUUGAAACUUCUAAUCUAGAGUAUGGGAGGGGGAGAUGGAAUUAGUGGUGUAGGGGUAAAAUCCGUAGAUAUCACUAGGAAUACCUAAAGCGAAGGCGAUCUCCUGGAACAUUACUGACGCUAAGGCGUGAAAGCGUGGGGAGCAAACAGGAUUAGAUACCCGCGUAGUC
This 440-nucleotide ribosomal RNA is filed under the name uncultured bacterium. RNAcentral describes it as "partial 16S ribosomal RNA". It matches the Rfam family "Bacterial small subunit ribosomal RNA", at positions 339 to 795 of the family's 1533-position model. The record is from RNAcentral.